Molecule: ribosomal RNA, 497 nt
Filed under: uncultured bacterium
Lineage: Bacteria
Description: partial 16S ribosomal RNA
Rfam family: Bacterial small subunit ribosomal RNA
Source: RNAcentral
GAUGAACGCUGGCGGCGUGCCUAAUACAUGCAAGUCGAGCGAACAGACAAGGAGCUUGCUCCUCUGACGUUAGCGGCGGACGGGUGAGUAACACGUGGAUAACCUACCUAUAAGACUGGGAUAACUUCGGGAAACCGGAGCUAAUACCGGAUAGUAUAUUGAACCGCAUGGUUCAAUAGUGAAAGACGGUUUUGCUGUCACUUAUAGAUGGAUCCGCGCCGCAUUAGCUAGUUGGUAAGGUAACGGCUUACCAAGGCGACGAUGCGUAGCCGACCUGAGAGGGUGAUCGGCCACACUGGAACUGAGACACGGUCCAGACUCCUACGGGAGGCAGCAGUAGGGAAUCUUCCGCAAUGGGCGAAAGCCUGACGGAGCAACGCCGCGUGAGUGAUGAAGGUCUUCGGAUCGUAAAACUCUGUUAUUAGGGAAGAACAAAUGUGUAAGUAACUAUGCACGUCUUGACGGUACCUAAUCAGAAAGCCACGGCUAACUACGUG